GUGUCAUGGGGUCAUGGAUGCUGGUGUGGAUUCUGUGCGCCACAGUCACUCUGAUGCCUGUGUGUCUUCACGGAGCAAUAUCGGUCCACUUCAAGACCGGACGGCCUCUCUAUGUGGCUCUCGGCGAAACUCUUGUUUUGGAAGCCGUAUUCAAGAAGGACUCAGGUGACAAAAUAGACAUGGUGUCGUGGGACCGCGAGGGAGCAAAGGACAAUGUCAGACUGUCACAUGGAAACAGAAUAUCUUUGGAGAAUGGAGAUACACUUCUGCGGGUCACUGAUGUUGCAGAAGAGGACAUUGCGACCUACAAAGUCACCGUUACAGACAGUAACGGAUACCAGCAACAAGACUCCAUAGAUGUUAAAAACAUAGUUUCAGGGGAACCUCCAAAGGCGUCAAUUACACGUGUGCUGGAGUGUGUCGUGGAUAAUCAUGGCUUGGCCCAGUGGGACAGCCCUCAGUUUUCAUGGCUGGUUGAUGGUGUUAAAGUAACCAAUCAAUCCGCACUGUUAACAAACGGCAGUAGACUAGAUAUCUCUGGGGUUAAGGGUGUUAACUACACCUGCAUCAUCAAGAGCAGCCUGGGGACGCUCACAACGCAUUUUGAAAUGCCAACAGAAUCUGAGCGCUGUUGUGCUGGACUGAUUGCAGUUGGAGUGAUAACAGGAAUAGCACUUGUGGCCGGAUCAAUUUUCCUGAUGAAGUACAAAAAAACCUCUAAACAUGAAGCUGUCUCUACUAAGUCAACAUAGAAGAUUGUAUUAUAUUUAUUUACAUGUUAAUGUACCUGUAAACAUUUUAAAUAGAUCAUUUUGUUUUGUUCUAUUGGAUAAAGUUAUUGCUAUAUGUCUUGUUCAUUGAUUCGUUCUGUCCAUUUGACCAAACUAUAAAAAUGUAAGCUGUUAAAAUGGAUCUUUAAGAUAUAAGCUGCAAAAAAUGGAUAUCAUUGCUAUUUAUUUUCUCUCUACCUCAUUUGUUCUAUUUAGUUUGCUGUUUGAGUUUCUGCAGUUUUUUUGCAUUUGCAUUCAAGUUUGUUCAGAGAAUUAAAGUGUCCAAACUGAUCUUGAGCGUGGAGCAUGAUUUAGAGAAGAUCUGUUUGUUUGUUUGUUUGUUUGUUUGUUGUGCUCGGCGUUCAGACCAGUCCUGUAGAGACACAAACAACAUCGCUCUAGUGUUUUUCAGGAUAAAUGCAUCUCUUUCAGGAACUUAUGAGUGGUGAGUUAUGAAAAGCAUUCAGGGAUCUCACUCAUAAAGUUACUGUGUCUGAACUUUGGUCACGUUUAAUGCAUGAGCACGACUACAGCGAUUCAUUAGAGGACUGUCCUGCUUCUGUACAUCUGCUGUGAGUUCUUGAUAUGUUUAUGUAGAUUGUUUUUCAUGGCUCUCUGGAAUUCUUUAUUCUGAUUGGCCAGCUGCAGAUUGUGUUUUUAGUUUUAUUUCUUAUUUUAAUAAAUGCUGCUCUGUUUAACAUUCUAUUCAUCGAUGAAUCCAGAAAAAUGUACAACGGUUUACACAUUAAUAAAAAAAUUAUCAUAAUAAGAAAUAUUUGUUGAGCAGCAAAUGACAAUUUGAUAUUAUGGUUUUACGGAUAUUUAAAUUACUUUUUAAGAUUUAAAUUUUUUGGCUACCAUAAACAAUCUACAGAAG
This is a long non-coding RNA of Carassius auratus (goldfish), 1647 nucleotides long. NCBI's taxonomy places the organism in Eukaryota, Metazoa, Chordata, Actinopteri, Cypriniformes, Cyprinidae. The record is from Ensembl.